GAAAUGCGAAAGGCAAUGCGAAUUGCAGAAUUCCGCGAGUCAUCAGAUCUUUGAACGCAAGUGGCGCCUACCGGAUAUCCGGUUGGCAUGCUUGUUUCAGUGUCUUAUCUCUAACAUAACUCAAUGUGAUUGAUAUUAUCAUUGAUAAUAUCUCUCAUGAAGUUAGAAUGUGCGUGCACUUCAACACAACGAAGUAGUCACAUGUGUAUAUGUGAUCUCGUUGAUGAGUGAAAUGCAUAAUAUUGUGCACAUAGAUAAGUCAAAUAAACUUAACAAAAAGUAUCUGAAAUCAAGCAAGAUCACCCGCUGAACUUAAGC
Molecule: unclassified non-coding RNA, 318 nt
Filed under: plant metagenome
Description: partial contains internal transcribed spacer 2 and large subunit ribosomal RNA
Rfam family: 5.8S ribosomal RNA (bases 1-105)
Source: RNAcentral